UUAAAACAGUACUAUUCAGCUUCUCCCUUAAAACAUAUGAAUAGAUCGUUCUCUGUAAUAAUUAACAAAAUUAAUUAGCCCUAAUUUGCAUCUCUCAAAUUACUCUUCUCGAUUCACUGUACGUGCACAAUUCUCUCAUCUAUUCGCUGUGACGUUCUCAAAUUGAUACUCGAUUUCCUUCGUACAAGUCCUAUUUUGUCGGAGUUAGACUUGUAAAAGUAUUGAGGCUGAUAUGAUUAAUUGAAGUCCCUUCAAAUAGAAACUGCAUUUGCCUACCUUUUUGCAUCCGCCUCUGAAAAUCUGAAGGUCCAUGAUUUUGAAGAGGCUUGUGGUGUUGGUGUUGAGGUAUCCAAGGAAGACAUUGAACGUGCUGUGAGUGAGGUCUUUGAAGAGAAGAGGGCCAAUAUAUUAGAACAACGUUAUAAAACCAAUGUUGGUGAACUCUUUGGUCAUGUUCGAAAGAAGUUGCCGUGGGCAGAUUCAAAUGUUGUCAAGGAAGUAGUAGAUCUCGAGCUGUAUAAAUUACUCGGGGAAAGAACUACAGCAGAUAAUGAAAAACCUGUUAAAAAUAAGAAAGAGAAGCCUGUGAAAACUGAGGAUAAAGCUAAAGUUGAGGAGACCUCUGCAGCAAAGUAGUCUGAGGAAGAACUAAAUCCAUACUUGAUCUUCCCUUCACCUGAGGAAAAUUAUAAGGUGCAUACAGAAGUAUAUUUCAGUGACCGUUCAGUGCUUCGAGCGUGCAGUUCCAAAGAUCUACUUGAAAAGCAUAUGAAAGCGACUGGAGGAAAAGUUCAGAUGUGCUUUCCUCCUAAACCUAAUGGAUUUUUAUACAUUGGACAUGCAAAGGCUAUGUUUGUUGACUUUGGUCUGACAAAAGAAAGAGGUGGUGGCUGUUACCUGAGGUUUGAUGAUACCAACCCUAAAGUUGAGAAGAAAGAGUACAUUGAUCACAUUAAAGAAAUUGUUGGGUGGAUGGGAUGGAAGCCUUUCAAGGUACAAGUUGUAGUAUGUACAGUCAGAAUCAGACAGCUGCAGAUUCCAGCCAGUAGAUGAUAAGUCCUCUUACUUAGGGGACUUCAGUUAGAUGUUAUUUAUGUACUUUACUUUCUUACUCAUAUGUAUUUAUUAGUGGUAGUUGGAGUCGCGUCUCAGCUAUCUAUAGUCAGUAAAGUAGAGGCUUCAUAGAUGUCAGUUAGAGUCAGUCAUGUAAUUUUAGUCCCUCUUUUCAGACUUUAUCAGAAUGUACACUUGUAUUAGUAUUGUAUUUUUAUAGAUUCCAUCAU
Capsicum annuum is the source of this 1283-nucleotide RNA transcript. RefSeq lists it as uncharacterized. The record is from RefSeq and is a predicted model, not a curated record. The transcript is spliced from 10 exons. NCBI's taxonomy places the organism in Eukaryota, Viridiplantae, Streptophyta, Magnoliopsida, Solanales, Solanaceae.